AGAAAAAAACUUGGAAAACAAGGAUGAAAGAGCUAAAGGCAUUGAUAAUGCAAAUGGUAGUCAAAUCGCAAUUGAAUGCACAAAUUCAGAAACAAAAAAGUCAUCAGAAGGAAAUAUCAAUACCAUACAUCUAGGAGGAAGCUUGUAUAUUGAUGAGAUUCAACUAUUUAGUGAAGCAGAAAAUUCAGAAGCAAAUCAAGAGCAAAGUAUAGACGAAAACCAAAACAAAUCAGUGCAAGUCAAUGCAAUAAGGGAUGCAAAUCUAACCACUAUUAAGGAAGCAGCACUAGAAACUCAUAACACCGCGACACACGCGGAAAUAAGAGAUGUAGAUUUGGAGGAAGAAUCCGCUGUUCAAAUUUCCCUUAAUGUUGCUAAGCAUGGGGGUAUGUCUCCAAGGCAUAUUGAACCUGUGAAAUUUCCAGCAAAAGAAAAAAAGAAACAGUCAAAAGAGAACUUAAGCAUGGGGGUAUGUCUCCAAGGCAUAUUGAACCUGUGAAAUUUCCAGCAAAAGAAAAAAUAAACAGUCAAAAGAGAACUCAAAUGCAGAAUCCAAGGGAGUAAAAACAAGGAGCAAUCUGUCCAAACACAAAAACAUCUAAUGGAUACCAUUAUCUAGAAUGUGAGAUCAGUAAAUACAAAGCAAGCAUUUCAAAGGCUGGUUACAAUGCAUCGGAAACAUAAAUUUCAAUUCAUUGGAAUAAUUGAACCUAUGCAGCAGUCUAACAAAAAGGAGAGAUAUAGAGCAAGAAUUGGUUUGGCUCAAGCUGUGGUGAAUGUGUCAAACAAGAUUUGGGCAUUUAAUGAUGAAAUUUUUGAAGUUAAUAUUUUGUAUAAUUUGACUCAAUAGUUGACUUUAAAAUUGGUGCACACUGAAACAUAUGCAGAGCUCAUCCCCACGCUAGUAUAUGCUAAAUGUUAUCGCAUUGAAAGAAUUGAGUUAUGGGAUUCUCUAUAUUCAAUGGCAUCACACAUUACUGUUCCAUGGCUAGUCGGAGGAGACUUUAAUGUGAUUUGGGAUGAGGAAGAGAAGUUUGGUGGCUUGCCAGUCUCGUUCCUCGAAGUAGAUGACUUCAGACAUUGCAUAAACUCAUGCUCUUUAAACGAUUUGGGGUUCAAGGGAAGCAUUUUCACAUGGUGGAAUGCAAGAUCAGAAGAGGACUGUAUAUCCAAAAGACUAGAUAGAUGUCUAGGAAAUGAUGAACUGCAACAGACCUUUCCUAGAUUGGAGGUAACUCAUUUGUCCAAAAUAGGCUCUGACCAUUGCCCAAUGCUGCUCAAAUGUAAUAUAAAUAAUUCCCCAGUUAAGAAGUCUUUCAGAUUUCUCAAUUUUUGGGUAACGCAUGAAUCUUUAAAAGAUGUAGUGAAAGAGACAUGGAAUGGUGAUUUUAGUGCAAAUCCUUUCAGCAAUUUUAACUACAAGUUAAAAAAGCUUAAACAUGCACUUUCUACUUGGAGCAGAGCUGAAAGAGACAUGGAAUGGUGAUAUUAGUGCAAAUCCUUUCAACAAUUUCAACUACAAGUUAAAAAAGCUUAUACAUGCACUUUUUACUUGGAGCAGAGCUACAUAUGGGAUAUUUUCAAGAAGAUUGCAAGUCUAGAGGAGGUGGUACUAAGUCAUGAAAAUCAAUUUGAAAUUAAUCCUACUCAGAGAAAUAGACAAAGAUUACGACAGGUUCAAGCUUAAUUGCUUAAAUAUUUUGCAUUAGAAGAAUUAUUCUUGAAACAAAAAGCAGGCAUGUUGUGGUUUAAAGAUGGUGAUAGAAACACAAAAUAUUUUCAUGCCCAGGUUAAUGGGAGAAGGAAAAGAGUAAAGUUAUCAAGAAUCCAAGAUAGUGAUGGUAAUUGGAUUGAAGAAGAUCACAAAAUAGCAAAGGAAGCUGUAAAAUUUUACAAGGAUUUAUUUUCUGAGUGGUCUUUUCCCAAUGAUUUUGAUAUUUGAAAACAUGUACCUCCAAUGAUAGAUCCUGGGCAACAUGAGAGAUUGAUGGCCUUACCUUCGAAUGAGGAAGUGAAGAAAGAAGUAAUGGGGCUGAAUGGGGAUUCAGCAGGCGGUCCAGACGGUUUCACUGGAGCUUUCUACCAAUCAUUCUGGGACAUCAUUGAAGAAGAUGUGGUCGGCAUGGUCAAGUAUUUCUUCUGUGGUCACCAGCUCCCAAAGAAUGUGACGCACACAAAUCUGGUUUUAUUGCCAAAGACAAAAGAAGUGAUUAAUUUCGCAGACUUGAGACCUAUCAGUCUUAGUAACUUUGUUAACAAGCUUUUCUCAAGGGUCAUUCAUGAAAGGUUGGGGGAACUAUUACCAAACAUAUUCUCAGAGGAGCAGGCAGGUUUCGUGAAGGGAAGAAAUAUCGUAGAGAAUGUUCUGCUAACUCAAGAAAUCAUUAAGGAUAUGAGGGUGAGAACUAAAGCAUGACCAAAUGUGGUGGUAAAGCUAGAUAUGACAAAAGCAUAUGAUAGAUUAUCAUGGCUUUUCCUGACAAAAGUGCUAAGAAAGAUGAGAUUUCCAGAAGAUUUUAUCGGCUUGAUAUAUGAUUUGAUUGGGAAUAACUGGUACUCUAUUCUAAUAAAUGGACAACCAAAUGGUUUUUUCAAAGCGUCUAAUUUUAUCGGCUUGAUAUAUGAUUUGAUUGGGAAUAACUGGUACUCUAUUAUAAUAAAUGGACAACCAAAUGGAUUUUUCAAAGCGUCUAGGGGAGUAAAGCAGGGAGACCCUCUGUCACCUACCUUAUUCGUUCUAGCAGCAGAAGCAUUUGUCUAGAGGUUUCAACUCACUGCAUAAUAACCGGUUUUCUGCGAAUUUUAGACUUCCUAAAUGGAGCCCAAAUAUAAACCACCUGGCUUAUGCGGAUGAUACAAUCAUUUUCUGCUCAUCAGACAAAAAGUCUCUAACACUUGUGAUGGAGGUUCUGCAAUCUUAUGAAGCAGCAUCUGGUCAACUGAUCAAUAAAGCCAAAUAUAUCUGCAUCAUUCAACGAAAGAUGAGGUGACUAACAAGGUGGAAAGGAUUACUGGUAUAUGAAAACAAUGUUUCCCAAUGACAUAUCUUGGAUGUCCUAUUUUUUAUGCAAGAAGAAGGAGUGAUUACUACCAGGCAUUAAUUACAAAGGUUAUGGACUGACUGCAGUCGUGGAAAGGAAAGCUCCUCUCGGUAGGCAGCAGGGCUAUAUUGAUCGCAAAUGUUUUGCAAAGUAUGCCAAUUCAUAUGUUAUCAACAGUUAAUCCUCCUAACUAUGUCAUUACCAAAUUACAUAGCAUUUUUGCAAAAUUCUUCUGGAGCAGUAAUGUGGGAGGAAAUUCAAGACAUUGGUCAUCCUGGACUAACCUAUGUAUGCCUUAUGAGGAAGGGGGUAUAGGUUUCAGAUCACUUN
Molecule: long non-coding RNA, 3371 nt
Filed under: Nicotiana benthamiana
Lineage: Eukaryota; Viridiplantae; Streptophyta; Magnoliopsida; Solanales; Solanaceae
Description: long non-coding RNA (NBEN_LNC007297)
Source: RNAcentral